Molecule: ribosomal RNA, 608 nt
Filed under: Cladosporium halotolerans
Lineage: Eukaryota; Fungi; Ascomycota; Dothideomycetes; Cladosporiales; Cladosporiaceae
Description: eukaryotic LSU rRNA
Rfam family: Eukaryotic large subunit ribosomal RNA
Source: RNAcentral
GCAUAUCAAUAAGCGGAGGAAAAGAAACCAACAGGGAUUGCUCUAGUAACGGCGAGUGAAGCAGCAAUAGCUCAAAUUUGAAAUCUGGCGUCUUCGGCGUCCGAGUUGUAAUUUGUAGAGGAUGCUUCUGGGCAGCCACCGACCUAAGUUCCUUGGAACAGGACGUCAUAGAGGGUGAGAAUCCCGUAUGCGGUCGGAAAGGCACCCUACACGUAGCUCCUUCGACGAGUCGAGUUGUUUGGGAAUGCAGCUCUAAAUGGGAGGUAAAUUUCUUCUAAAGCUAAACAUUGGCCAGAGACCGAUAGCGCACAAGUAGAGUGAUCGAAAGAUGAAAAGCACUUUGGAAAGAGAGUUAAAAAGCACGUGAAAUUGUUGAAAGGGAAGGGAUUGCAACCAGACUUGCUCGCGGUGUUCCGCCGGUCUUCUGACCGGUCUACUCGCCGCGUUGCAGGCCAGCAUCGUCUGGUGCCGCUGGAUAAGACUUGAGGAAUGUAGCUCCCUCGGGAGUGUUAUAGCCUCUUGUGAUGCAGCGAGCGCCGGGCGAGGUCCGCGCUUCGGCUAGGAUGCUGGCGUAAUGGUUGUAAUCCGCCCGUCUUGAAACACGGACC